CUUUGUCUCUUCUUGUUCUUCGUACUAACUUUUUCUUGGUGGGUUUUCCCUAACCAAAAACUUAAGAUGCUUAAGAAAUGUGGGUUAGAAGGGCCAACCCCAAGUUUUCCACUUGGGAACAUUGAAGAGAUGAAAAGAAAGAGUAUCAUUAAAUCUUCAGUUGUUUCCUCGAAUCUCCCACACGAUAUACACUCUUACGUUUUCCCUUACUUCUCUACCUGGCAGAAGUCACAUGGCAAGGUGUUCUUGUAUUGGUUGGGCACGGAGCCGUUUUUGUACAUUGCAGAGCCAG
RNAcentral lists this small RNA (292 nucleotides) under Vigna angularis var. angularis. RNAcentral describes it as "Non-protein coding transcript". Lineage: Eukaryota; Viridiplantae; Streptophyta; Magnoliopsida; Fabales; Fabaceae. The record is from RNAcentral.